RNAcentral lists this ribosomal RNA (371 nucleotides) under uncultured bacterium. Its description in RNAcentral is "bacterial SSU rRNA". It matches the Rfam family "Bacterial small subunit ribosomal RNA", at positions 28 to 380 of the family's 1533-position model. The record is from RNAcentral.
GAUGAACGCUGGCGGCGUGCUUAACACAUGCAAGUCGAACGAAGCAUUUAAGACAGAUUACUUCGGUUUGAAGUCUUUUAUGACUGAGUGGCGGACGGGUGAGUAACGCGUGGGUAACCUGCCUCAUACAGGGGGAUAGCAGCUGGAAACGGCUGGUAAUACCGCAUAAGCGCACAGUACCACAUGGUACAGUGUGAAAAACUCCGGUGGUAUGAGAUGGACCCGCGUCCGAUUAGCUAGUUGGUGAGGUAACGGCCCACCAAGGCGACGAUCGUAGCCGGACUGAGAGGUUGAACGGCCACAUUGGGACUGAGACACGGCCCAGACUCCUACGGGAGGCAGCAGUGGGGAAUAUUGCACAAUGGGGGAAA